RNAcentral lists this long non-coding RNA (3994 nucleotides) under Elaeis guineensis (African oil palm). RNAcentral's name for it is "long non-coding RNA (EGUI_LNC048260)". The record is from RNAcentral. Lineage: Eukaryota; Viridiplantae; Streptophyta; Magnoliopsida; Arecales; Arecaceae.
AGGGGUCUACCACCGUCAGAGGCAACAACUCAUCGGGGGCCGCCACCAUGGGAGGUGGCCGACCUCAAAACACCCCCUUCUCCUAUUUCAACGAAGAAGAAAAGAGAAAAUGCGAGAAAAAAAGAAGAAAAAAAGAAAAAGAAAAGAAAAAUAAAAGAGAGUUUCACUCUUCUCUCCUUCCCUCACUUCUCUCUUUGCCUUCUCUCUCUAUAAGUCUCUCUCUACUUUCUCUCCCUAAAAUUUUCUCUUUCUGGGUUGUUUCUCUCUCUUCAUGGAUUUUUCUCUCUAAAAAUCUGAUGGACUAGUAGAGGGUCCAGAUGUCUAGGUGCACUUAGAUUGACCAGUUUAAACUUUGCGAGAAGUCUUGGGUCUAUAGUAUUAGGAUCGUUUAUCUUGAUUUUCUAUUAUCCAUAAUCAUCUAUGAAUGUUUACGUUUGGUCUUGAUUAUGUAGAGGUGAAAUUAUCUUUAGAAGGUGUCGAGCGGAACACCUUAAUCUCGAGUUCGUAAAUCAAAGGGCCGAUCAAUAGCUAUACUUGAGUUUGAGACCGGUAGAGGUAAGGAUCUCUUUACAUGAUCACCUAUCUAUAUGAUUUUUUCUAUAUUAUGCAUGAUGAUAUUUCUGAUUUCAUGUCAAAUACAUGAUUCUUUAUUAUAUUUGUAUCAUAUAUUGACAUUUUGAUUGUUGAAAACAUGAGAUUUGAUGUUUGAAAAUUGAACAAGAAGUGUAAUACAAAUUAUUGAAUGAAUUGUUGAAUGUGUAAGAGGAUUUGGAUUAGCCAUGAUGUGGAUUGUUGGUCACAGGCCGAAUUGUGACAUCCUGGAUUGCCAAUCAUGGGUCGAAUCAUGACACUCUAGUUUGCCAUUGCAAGCUGAAGCAUGGAUAUCUUGGUUUGCCAUCCGGAUCGAAGUGUGGAUAUCUGAUUUGUCACUGCGGACUGAGCACAGUUAUUAUGGUUUGCCACUACAUGCCGAAGUACAAUUAUUAUGGAUUGCCACCGUGGACCGAAGCACGGCUAUUAUGGAUGGUCACUACACAUCGAAGUGUGGUUUAUUGUUUGUCAAUCAUGAGUCGAAGCAUGAUCAUGAUUAGUCCAAAUGGAAAGAUGAUGAUUGAUUUGAAAAAUGUUAAUGAAACAUAAACGAUAAGACGUAUAAACAUACAUUUGAUGUUUAUGAUGGAUUGCUGAUAAUAUAUGAUUCGUGAUAUAUAUAUAUAUAUACAUAUAUGCAUACAUAUAUGCAUACAUAUAUAUUUGAUAUGAAUUUUGUGACUUAUGAUUUCUCUUUGAUAGUUGCUCAUUCAUUAUUUUGAAUUGUCUUAUUAUAUUGGUGUAUGUGUAAUGGGAUUCUUACUAGAUUAUAAAGCUCACAACUCUCUAUUUCUCUUUUAUUUUUGGAGUUACAGAAUGCUUAUAUUUAGCUAAGAUGGGGAUCUUGAUUCAAAAGAAAUGAUUAGAUAGUGGCAUCAAUAGUAGUUGGAUGACCAAGUUUUGUAAGUUGUAUAAGAUUGAUAUUUAUUAAUAUGAAAUUAUUUGUUAUGAAUUGUGAUUGAUAGUAUUUAUGAGAUGUUGAGAAUGUAAAGAAUUUUGCAGGUCUUGCAUAUUCUUUAAGGCUUGUCUUAGGGAGUGUGCGGUCAUUACGUAUCCGAUCCGAGUGCUGGGUUCAGAGCGUGACAUAAUGGUAUUAGAGCUUAAGGUUAUGAUCUCUAGGGAUUGUCAGUUAAUGAGUAUUUGAGCAUAAGGUUAUGAUCACUAAGGAUGUGACAGAAUGGUAUCAGAGCUUAAGGUUAUGAUCUCUAGGGAUGGUGAGUUAAGAAGUAUUUGAGCAUAAGGUUAUGAUCACUAAGAAUGUGACAGAAUAGUAUUAGAGCUUAAGUUAUGAUCAUUUGGGACUGUGACAUAAGUGACUAUGGCAUGACAUAAGUGAUAAUGAAACUUAGGGUUUUGAUCACUAGGGUUUGUGGUAGAAGUGAUUCAUAGGGUUUGGAUUUGGAUGGAUAAUUUGUAUCUCGGAUGUAAUUCGAGGAAUUAAUAAUUUAUGAUUUUAUUGAUUUAAAAAUUAGCAAAUUCAAAAAAUUUGAUGGAUUUAGAUUAGAGUGCACAACGAAAGCGUAGUGGUUUAAGUCAUUUAAAUUUGAUCGAAAAGAUUGGUUUUAAUUCAAAGGAUGUCAUGAUAGAGGAUUGGAAUUUUUUUUUGAGUGAAGAAAGCUAUCUAGGAGCUCGAGGAUAAGAUAAGAAUUUUGUAUCCUUAAGAGUUUGAUUUUGCAGUAUGCUAAUUUCGAAGAUGAAAUUAUUUUAAGGGGGGAAUGUAAGGAUCUAAAUUCUUUAUAACCCCUCUCACAAAUCUUAAAGCAAAAUAAGAAGCCAAAAAAAAGCUUUUGAACCUCAUGUGCCUCGCAUAUGGGGCGAAAGAGGACUCCUGAUGGGGGUUGGCCUCUUUCCAAGCUUGGCAAGGAUUGGGAGAUCUAGGGCUCAUCGGAGCUCUAGAUUUUGAUUAUAAAUAGGCCGACCCUCUUCCUUUAGCUCAAUGACCCAAUCACCUCGAUCGAUUGCUGGCCAAAUUCAUGGGAUUUUUUGGAUUUUCGUUGAAUAAUUUUGAGAGCCAUCGACGAGUUUUCGUAGGAAAAGAGGACCAAAUACCUUGUCGGAGACAAGGUAUGGUCUCUAAACCUCUUUUCUUUCUUCCUAGCUUUUUUGAUGCCCUCAAUGGCCAUGUUCGCCGAAUUUUCUUUGAAACCAAACAUCCCCUGUUUUCAUUUUUUGUUUCUUUUCCUCCUACCAGAUCUAUUGCCAUCAGCGGAUGGCCUUGGUCAUCGAGGAUCCGAGGCCGUCGGGGGUCUACGAUCGUCAAAGGUCACCGCUCAUCGAGGGCUAUCACUACGGGAGGUGGCCGACCUCAAAACACCCCCUUCCCCUGUUCAACGAAGAAAAGAGAAAAUGGGAGAAAGAAAAGAAGAAAAAAAGAAAAAAGAAAAGAAAGAAAAGAAAAAGAAAAAAAGAAAAGAAAAGGGAGAGUUUCUCUUCUCUAUCUCUUCCCUCACUUCUCUCUUUACCUUCUCUUUCUUGUUUCUCUCUCUAUGAGUCUCUCUUUACUUUCUCUUCCUAAAAUUUUCUCUUUACAUUGUUUCUGUUUUCAUGGAUUUUUCUCUCUCUAAAAAUCUGAUGGACUAGUAGAGGGUCCAGAUGUCUAGAUACGCUUAAAUUGACUAGUUAAAUCCUGUGAGAAGUCUUGGACUUAUAGUAUUAGGAUCGUUUACCUUGAUUUCCUACUAUCCAUAAUUAGCUAUGAAUUUUUAUGUUUGGUCUUGAUUAUGUAGAGGUGCAAUUUUCUUGAGGUGUCGAGUGGAACAUCUUAAUCUCAAGUUCGUAAAUCGAAGGGUUGAUCAAUAGCUGUACUUGAGUCUGAGAUCGGUAGAGGUAAGGGUCCCUUUACAUGAUCAUCUAUAUAUAUGAUUUUUUUGUAUUAUACAUGAUGAUAUUUCUGAUUUCACAUCGAAUAUAUGAUUCUUUAUUAUAUUUGUAUCAUAUGUUAACUAUGUUGAUUGUUAGAAACAUGAAAUCUGAUGUUUGGACAUUGACCAAGAAGUGUAAUACAAAUUAUUGAAUGAAACUGUUGAAUGUGUAAGAGGAUUUGGACUAGCCAUGAUGUGGAUUGCCGGUUACGGGCCAAAUUGUGAUACUCUGAAUUGCCAGUCAUAGGCUGAAUCAUGACACCCUAGUUUGCCACCAUGGGUUGAAGUGCGGAUAUCUUGGUUUGCCACCACGGACCAAAGCACGGAUAUUCUGAUUUGUCACUACAGGCCGAAGCAUCAUUAUUAUGGUUUGCUACCGCAGGUCGAAAUGUUGCUAUUAUGCAUUGCCACCAUGGGCCAAAGCGUAAUUUAUGGUUUGCCAGUCAUGGGUCGAAGCAUGACCAUGAUUAGUCCAAAUGGAAAGAUGAUGAUUGAUCUGAAAAAUGUUAAUGAAACAUAAACGAUUAGGCAUAUAAACAUAC